Molecule: ribosomal RNA, 778 nt
Filed under: bacterium DOAN13/1
Lineage: Bacteria
Description: bacterial SSU rRNA
Rfam family: Bacterial small subunit ribosomal RNA
Source: RNAcentral
CUGCAGUCGAGCGAACUGAAUUAAAAGCUUGCUUCUAUGACGUUAGCGGCGGACCGUUGAAGUAACACGUGGGCAACCUGCCUGUAAGACUGGGAUAACUUCGGGAAACCGAAGCUAAUACCGGAUAGGAUCUUCUCCUUCAUGGGAGAUGAUUGAAAGAUGGUUUCGGCUAUCACUUACAGAUGGGCCCGCGGUGCAUUAGCUAGUUGGUGAGGUAACGGCUCACCAAGGCCACGAUGCAUAGCCGACCUGAGAGGGUGAUCGGCCACACUGGGACUGAGACACGGCCCAGACUCCUACGGGAGGCAGCAGUAGGGAAUCUUCCGCAAUGGACGAAAGUCUGACGGAGCAACGCCGCGUGAGUGAUGAAGGCUUUCGGGUCGUAAAACUCUGUUGUUAGGGAAGAACAAGUACAAGAGUAACUGCUUGUACCUUGACGGUACCUAACCAGAAAGCCACGGCUAACUACGUGCCAGCAGCCGCGGUAAUACGUAGGUGGCAAGCGUUAUCCGGAAUUAUUGGGCGUAAAGCGCGCGCAGGCGGUUUCUUAAGUCUGAUGUGAAAGCCCACGGCUCAACCGUGGAGGGUCAUUGGAAACUGGGGAACUUGAGUGCAGAAGAGAAAAGCGGAAUUCCACGUGUAGCGGUGAAAUGCGUAGAGAUGUGGAGGAACACCAGUGGCGAAGGCGGCUUUUUUGGUCUGUAACUGACGCUGAAGGCGCGAAAGCGUGGGGGAGCAAACCAGGAUUAGAUACCCUGGGUAGUCCACCCCCGUAAAC